UCCAUCAUCGUCGUUCUUUGAAGAUCUCCACCGCCCACCGCCUCCUCCCGAACCUCCGCCGCCGCCAUCAUUUUUGUCUAUCUAAAAGAAAUGCAUGAUGGUCUACAUGUAGUUUUCGUUUUUCAUCUCUCAUCUCCUGGUUAAUUUGUUUGGUGCUAGCUAAAUCAUAUCUAAUUUGUUUGAUUUUUAAUUCCAUAUAUAUAUAUAUAUAUAUGCCAAUGGAUUUAAAAAUCAAACUGUAUCAAUUUUCU
RNAcentral lists this long non-coding RNA (251 nucleotides) under Erythranthe guttata (spotted monkey flower). Its description in RNAcentral is "long non-coding RNA (EGUT_LNC001663)". Lineage: Eukaryota; Viridiplantae; Streptophyta; Magnoliopsida; Lamiales; Phrymaceae. The record is from RNAcentral.